RNAcentral lists this ribosomal RNA (494 nucleotides) under uncultured bacterium. RNAcentral describes it as "partial 16S ribosomal RNA". It matches the Rfam family "Bacterial small subunit ribosomal RNA", at positions 28 to 507 of the family's 1533-position model. The record is from RNAcentral.
GACGAACGCUGGCGGCGUGCUUAACACAUGCAAGUCGAACGGUGAAGCGCCUUCCUUUUUGGUGGGUUUGUAUGAGUGGCGAACGGGUGAGUAACACGUGAGUAACCUGCCCCCUUCUUCUGGAUAACCGCAUGAAAGUGUGGCUAAUACGGGAUAUUCUGGUUCUGUCGCAUGAUGGGUCUGGGAAAGUUAUUGUUUCGGUGGGGGAUGGGCUCGCGGCCUAUCAGCUUGUUGGUGGGGUGAUGGCCUACCAAGGCGGUGACGAGUAGCCGGCCUGAGAGGGUCGGCGGCAAGAGAGGGAAGGAGAGACCGAGAAGACUACUAGGGGCGGCAGCAGUGGGGAAUAUUGCACAAGGGGAGGAAGGAUGAAGCAGCGACGCGGGGGGAGGGAUGGAGGUCGUAGGGUUGAGAACUGCUUUCGGGAGUGAAGAAGGGUUGACUCGAUUGUGGGUGGGUUGACGGUAGCUGGAUAAGAAGCGACGGCUAACUACGUG